Molecule: ribosomal RNA, 468 nt
Filed under: uncultured bacterium
Lineage: Bacteria
Description: partial 16S ribosomal RNA
Rfam family: Bacterial small subunit ribosomal RNA
Source: RNAcentral
GACGAACGCUGGCGGCGUGCUUAACACAUGCAAGUCGAACGGAAAGGCCCUGCUUUUGUGGGGUGCUCGAGUGGCGAACGGGUGAGUAACACGUGAGUAACCUGCCCUUGACUUUGGGAUAACUUCAGGAAACUGGGGCUAAUACCGGAUAGGAGCUCCUGCUGCAUGGUGGGGGUUGGAAAGUUUCGGCGGUUGGGGAUGGACUCGCGGCUUAUCAGCUUGUUGGUGGGGUAGUGGCUUACCAAGGCUUUGACGGGUAGCCGGCCUGAGAGGGUGACCGGCCACAUUGGGACUGAGAUACGGCCCCGACUCCUACGGGAGGCAGCAGUGGGGAAUAUUGCACAAGGGGCGGAAGCCUGAUGCAGCAACGCCGCGUGCGGGAUGACGGCCUUCGGGUUGUAACCCGCUUUCGCCUGUGACGAAGCGUGAGUGACGGUAAUGGGUAAAGAAGCACCGGCUAACUACGUG